Molecule: ribosomal RNA, 468 nt
Filed under: uncultured bacterium
Lineage: Bacteria
Description: partial 16S ribosomal RNA
Rfam family: Bacterial small subunit ribosomal RNA
Source: RNAcentral
GACGAACGCUGGCGGCGUGCUUAACACAUGCAAGUCGAACGGAAAGGCCCUGCUUUUGUGGGGUGCUCGAGUGGCGAACGGGUGAGUAACACGUGAGUAACCUGCCCUUGACUUUGGGAUAACUUCAGGAAACUGGGGCUAAUACCGGAUAGGAGCUCCUGCUGCAUGGUGGGGGUUGGAAAGUUUCGGCGGUUGGGGAUGGACUCGCGGCUUAUCAGCUUGUUGGUGGGGUAGUGGCUUACCAAGGCUUUGACGGGUAGCCGGCCUGAGAGGGUGACCGGCCACAUUGGGACUGAGAUACGGCCCAGAAGCCUACGGGAGGCAGCAGUGGGGAAUAUUGCACAGUGGGCGGAAGCCUGAUGCAGCAACGCCGCGUGCGGGAUGACGGCCUUCGGGUUGUAAACCGCUUUCGCCUGGGACGAAGCGUGAGUGACGGUAAUGGGUAAAGAAGCACCGGCUAACUACGUG